UACGUAGGUGGCAAGCGUUGUUCGGAAUUACUGGGCGUAAAGCGCGCGUAGGCGGACCUGCAAGUCGGGGGUGAAAGCCCGAGGCUCAACCUCGGAACUGCCUUCGAUACUGCGGGUCUCGAGUCCGGGAGAGGUGAGUGGAAUUCCUAGUGUAGAGGUGAAAAUUCGUAGAUAUUAGGAAGAACACCAGUGGCGAAGGCGGCUCACUGGCCCGGUACUGACGCUGAGGCGCGAAAGCGUGGGGAGCAAACAGGG
Molecule: ribosomal RNA, 255 nt
Filed under: uncultured bacterium
Lineage: Bacteria
Description: partial 16S ribosomal RNA
Rfam family: Bacterial small subunit ribosomal RNA
Source: RNAcentral